CACUACGAAGCUAAAUGGGCCGAGCGUUAGCCUUUUAAGCUAAAGAAUGGUGGCCCCCAACCACCCCUAGUGA
This 73-nucleotide transfer RNA is filed under the name Percopsis omiscomaycus. RNAcentral's name for it is "tRNA-Lys". It matches the Rfam family "tRNA". Rfam says of the family: Transfer RNA (tRNA) molecules are approximately 80 nucleotides in length. Their secondary structure includes four short double-helical elements and three loops (D, anti-codon, and T loops). The record is from RNAcentral. Lineage: Eukaryota; Metazoa; Chordata; Actinopteri; Percopsiformes; Percopsidae.